This 117-nucleotide small nuclear RNA is filed under the name Brassica napus (rape). Its description in RNAcentral is "snRNA U5". It matches the Rfam family "U5 spliceosomal RNA". From Rfam's summary of the family: U5 RNA is a component of both types of known spliceosome. The precise function of this molecule is unknown, though it is known that the 5' loop is required for splice site selection and p220 binding, and that both the 3' stem-loop and the Sm site are important for Sm protein binding and cap methylation. Lineage: Eukaryota; Viridiplantae; Streptophyta; Magnoliopsida; Brassicales; Brassicaceae. The record is from RNAcentral.
AGCCGUGCGAUAAGCACAUAGCGAACUAUUCUUUCGCCUUUUACUAAAGAAUACCGUGUGUUUGUCGUACCAAGCGGCAUACGCCUAUUUUUGGAGGGUUGUCUCAUUUGAGAUCAU